Molecule: small RNA, 29 nt
Filed under: Bombyx mori (domestic silkworm)
Lineage: Eukaryota; Metazoa; Arthropoda; Insecta; Lepidoptera; Bombycidae
Description: ovarian small RNA-28752
Source: RNAcentral
UCGCCUUCCACGACUCGUCGUCACCGAAC